CACGUAGGCGGAUAUUUAAGUCAGGGGUGAAAUCCCAGAGCUCAACUCUGGAACUGCCUUUGAUACUGGGUAUCUUGAGUAUGGAAGAGGUAAGUGGAAUUCCGAGUGUAGAGGUGAAAUUCGUAGAUAUUCGGAGGAACACCAGUGGCGAAGGCGGCUUACUGGUCCAUUACUGACGCUGAGGUGCGAAGCGUGGGGAGCAAACA
This 206-nucleotide ribosomal RNA is filed under the name uncultured bacterium. RNAcentral describes it as "partial 16S ribosomal RNA". It matches the Rfam family "Bacterial small subunit ribosomal RNA", at positions 568 to 774 of the family's 1533-position model. The record is from RNAcentral.